AGGUACUCCAUUGUCUGAUGGAUCUGAGAACGCUGUCUGGGCUUGGUACCAAGAGCUGGUAUUUCACAGCAGCGACCGCCUCACAGACGAGCUGUGGGAAGCAGGAGGGAGACUCUCUCUUAGGGUGCCACUACUAUGGAGACACAGCUGGGCUGAACAAGAUUUGCUUCAAACGACAACAAGAGAGACAGAAAGUAUCUGGUUCAACCGCUGCCCGAGCAGGCAGGCACCAGAAGAGCUAGCAGCCAAUCCGGCCAUGCUCGAAGCCAGCUCUGCAGCUCAGCCAAUCAGUGACAUCAUUGCUUUCUUUAGCUUGCCCAUGGUGAUGUGAAGAUGAGAAGAAAUAGCAAGGCCCAACCAGUUCUUCAUCUGGAGACAGUUCAACGUUCUGCAAACCAGAUCUUCAGGAAUUUUACUGGGAUAAUUAUCCAAAUAAAUUGCAAGCAUUCUAUCCAAAUGGACAUCCAUAAAAAUUCAUCAGAGAGCAUUUUACUACUGAGCUGCAAAGGGAAAAACUUAAAAUGGAUAUGAAAAGUGAAGAAAGUGAUCAUAGGAGAAAACCAUUUCAGAUGACAAGAGCACCUCAAAGGCAGCAGCCUCAAGGAGCAGCCAUGGCCCCAGACUUGUCGCACGGAUGCAGAAAACUUAAUGGAGGAGGCUGAGGUCAGAAUGGGAAGAGUUUUUAAAAAAUAAAAAGGGGAGCUAAUAUGUGAGGAACUGAUUGCUGUGCAUUAUUUUCCACUGAACAGACCUUCUUUUAACUUCUAAUCUCAAGCACAUAGCAGCUGUUGUUUUCAUAUUAAAGAUCAGUAAGUGUUUGUUGAAUGAAUGUAUAAAUUCUUCCCCAAUCUCUGUUCCAUGUAAUAAGAACUAAGUUAGCAUUCAAUUAUAAAGAGGACUUAGAAAGUCUGCAGACAUUUUUGAUCAAAAAUCCUUUUAACUGUCUUCUUAUGGUUCCCGGUAACACCUAAGCCCAAAAAACUCAGGUCAUUUCUUGCCUGUACUGUUGCAAUAGCCUCAUAAUAACUAGUCUUCUCCUUUAUCAACCACAGUCGUCUCCGCUACACAAAGAAGAGAGGGUGCUAAUCUAAAGUGUAAAUUAUUUUAAAUCAGCACCCUUCUUGUAAUUUCCCAGUGGUUUUUCCUGUCAUAAGAAUAACAUGCAAAAUUCCUUGCUUGCAAAGCCAGGUAUGACCUUGCCCCGUCUACCUUACUGGCAUCGUCUCUCAUGACUCUUCCCCUUUUUCACUCUCCAUCUUGCCUUUUCCCAACCAUGCCUGCUAGUGAGCCUUAGCCCUUGUGUUUUCUCUGCCAGGGAUGCAUGACUGGCUUCUUUACUUUAUUCUGAUCUCUCUGCUCAAAUGUCAUCUUUUUAGAGAUAGCUUUCCUAAACAUCUUUAAAAGUACCCCAUGAACUGUGAAACACCUUUCCUGCUUUUUCUUCAUAGUACUUAUCACUUCCUGAUAUUAUGUUAGACAACAAGCAAAUAAGUAUAUGCUGUUCCCACUAAAAUAUAAGCUCCAUUUGAACAGGAGCCUUGAUUAUUCCUGAGUAUACCCCUAGUGCCCAGAACCUAGUAGGGCUUUAAUAAAUAUUAGAUUCAUUUGUUGAAUGAAAAAAUGAAUGAAUAAUUGAAUAAAGAUAUCCAGGUAGAGUGUCCGGGCAGCCCAACCUAUGUGAAGCCAGUACAAGAAUGUUUCUGUGACAUAGUGAGCGCAAUUAUUCCUCUAAAUGAUGAACUUGCAUGAGUACACAAGGAUAAAAUUAAGCACGUAGUUUAGAUUUCUGCAAGUCUCUUCCUCAGAUUGAGGAAAAACAAAGAAAUUGAGCUUAUUCUCACCUCAUUCUUACAUGAACUAAAUCCAGAAUAAAGCAUCAUUUAAAUACCAAGCACAUCCCUACCUCAGCCACUCAUGGAAUACUUUAUCUGUAAAGGGACAGAUAGAUAGUAAAUAUUUUUGGCUUUGGGGACCGUACAGUCUGUGUCGCCACUACUCAGCACUUCUGUUGAGGUGUGGAAUCAGCCCUAGACAACACAUAAACAAAUGGGUGUGGCUGUGUUCCAAUAAAAUGUUAUUUAUAAAACUAGGAAAUCAGCAGAUUUAGUCCACAGGCUGUAGUUUGCUGACCCUUGAAUUAGAGAGUCUUCCCCAAAUCCUCUUCCCAAGUUAUUGAAAGAAUGCCCAUAGGACCAUAGCUCCCUCACCUGGUUCUUUCAAGAAAUGAGACAAAUUCAGGGAUGGUUGGAGGGUGGAACGCCUACCUGUGACAUGACUAUUGAGCCUGAUUUCUUUCCUUUUAUCUCUUUAAAGUGAGUCAGGUCUUAACUUUAAACUGUCUCUAAAGUGGCAAUAACUGGGCCAUGUCAAAUACUCCCAAUGACAAAA
Molecule: long non-coding RNA, 2388 nt
Organism: Homo sapiens (human)
Lineage: Eukaryota; Metazoa; Chordata; Mammalia; Primates; Hominidae
Gene: MIR99AHG
Product: mir-99a-let-7c cluster host gene
Source: Ensembl